GCUCACCCUACGGUCUAGAGAGCAAAUUGGGCAGUUACAAAUUGAUAGUUCCGUUUCCCAAAACAGGUAGCGCGAAAUUUCGCCUGCAACUGCAACAAACUCCAUUGAAAUAAAAAGUCUCUCUGCGCUUCUUUUACCCAAUGGCUUUUCUCGGAUCCAAUAUAUCAAGCGAGGUUGGGCUGCGGUUACUUCUUUGCCCACUUGGUUCUAAUGUUGUAAUUCGAACAGCAUGCUGUUCUGUUGGGGUUAUUUUACCUGUGUACUCUACAUUCAAGGCAAUUGAGAGGAAAGAUCAAAAUGAGCAACAAAAAUGGCUAAUAUAUUGGGCAGGUAGUAGGUUCCUGUCACUUACUGGUUGUGUUGGUAAUCUGAGGAUAUGUUACUUGCCGUAUUUACUUUCUUCCCAUAAUUGUAGCAUAUGGUUCUCUCAGCCUUGUGGAAGCAUUUUCAGACAAGUUACUCUCAUGGUACAGUUCUGAACCUUCAAUGUUUUAUUUCUAAAUUCUGCACGAUUCCAUUUUUUGUGUUAGACAUGCUCAUGCUCUAGAGCCAAAAGAUAACCACACUUGCAUGCAUGCUUGCCUUGUAUAUUUGUAGAUUGUGAUUUGUAGGAAUGUUUGAAAAAAAAAAAGGAGAGAGAUUUUGUGUAAUACGUUCUUUGGUCCUUUUUCAAAAUCAAAUACUUUGAUCCCUGAGUUUUAUACAAUUUGACACCUAAUUUAUAGACCAAAGUUAUGUAUUAUUAACCAGAAUUAGUAUUUUUUUUUGGACCAAUAUUUUAGCCUAUUAAGGACCAAAAGUGUUGAAUUUUAUAAAAUUGUGAUUUUUAGAAAAUUGAAGGGUUAAGGAGUUAAAUUUUGGAAAAAGCAAGUCCAAAGUUUAUAUUUGACUAAAUUUUAGUAUUUUUGGUAUUUUUUUUCUUGGCUCUGUUAUUCCUUUUGUGUUAUUAACCAAACCUGUCUUUUUUGGACCAAUUUUUAGCCUAUCGAGGACCAAAAUGUUGAUUUUUGGAAAAUAGAAGGUUUAAAGUGUUUGAUUUUGGAAAAAAGCAAGGUCCAAAGUUUAUGAUAGGCCAAAUUUUAGUAUUUUUUGUAAUUUUUUUUUUCUUAAUUCUGUUAUUCCUUGAUAACUGAUUUCCUUUUUGUGCAGGGUUCCAAUGUAUUAUCAUGUGAAGUUUGCAUUUCUAGUGUGGCUUCAACUUCCAUCCACUGAAGGCGCAAUGUAUUUGUAUAGGAACCACCUGCGUCCUUUCUUCUCCAGACAUCAAGCUAGAGUUGAUCUGCUUAUGGGUUUUGCUUAUGGUGAAAUGGUAUAUCCCCCGGAUGGUAUAAUGUUUUGGGAGUUGACAUAGUUCAAGACCUUAAUUCCUCCUUCUCCGAUUCUAUUUUUCUUAGAAUUAGAUCAAAUUUGGGAAAUUGUGCUUGUGCGGAUUCGUUAAUUUUCUAUGUUCCAUCUGUUGAUUGAAAAUCCAGAUUUAUGGUAGCUUUUUUCUUCAAAUUUGCAGGCCAAAAUUGUCAGCACACACCGAGCAGAAAUUGAAUAUGCUAGAGCUAUAAUCUUGAAGAUUAUGGGUUCAGGUUAGUAUGACGCUGAUCUGCAUGACUAGCUUGUUCAUAUCACUAAUUCCUAUUUUGGCCAACAUCAAAAUUCAUUCUGUACAGCUGACCAAACGAGUAAGGGCGAGUCUGAUCGUUCUAAAGAGCACCUGGCAAUUGAAGGCGGGACAAGGACAAGCGCAGACACUGAAUCUGAUUUUGACGAUUGACUCAACUCAACACUUGUUGUUCAUUUGCAUGAUUUUAAAUCCUUGAAUUUUUAUUUUUAAAUUUACUUGUAAAAGGACAGAAAGGAAUUGGAUUGGUGUUUUUUGAACAAAACCAGAGAGAAAAUAAUAGAUGAUUACCAAGUACCCUGAAUGAAUAAAUAUGUGUAUUUAAUAUUUU
This 1943-nucleotide unclassified non-coding RNA is filed under the name Hevea brasiliensis (rubber tree). Lineage: Eukaryota; Viridiplantae; Streptophyta; Magnoliopsida; Malpighiales; Euphorbiaceae. The record is from RNAcentral.